GAUGAACUCUUGCUACAGGCUUAACACAUGCAAGUCGAGGGGCAGCAUUUCAGUUUGCUUGCAAACUGGAGAUGGCGACCGGCGCACGGGUGAGUAACACGUAUCCAACCUGCCGAUAACUCGGGGAUAGCCUUUCAAAAGAAAGAUUAAUACCCGAUGGUAUAAUCAGACCGCAUGGUCUUGUUAUUAAAGAAUUUCGGUUAUCGAUGGGGAUGCGUUCCAUUAGGCAGUUGGUGAGGUAACGGCUCACCAAACCUUCGAUGGAUAGGGGUUCUGAGAGGAAGGUCCCCCACAUUGGAACUGAGACACGGUCCAAACUCCUACGGGAGGCAGCAGUGAGGAAUAUUGGUCAAUGGGCGCAGGCCUGAACCAGCCAAGUAGCGUGAAGGAUGACUGCCCCUAUGGGUUGUAAACUUCUUUUAUAUGGGAAUAAAGUUUUCCACGUGUGGAAUUUUGUAUGUACCAUAUGAAUAAGGAUCGGCUAACUCCGUGCCAGCAGCCGCGGUAAUACGGAGGAUCCGAGCGUUAUCCGGAUUUAUUGGGUUUAAAGGGAGCGUAGGUGGACAGUUAAGUCAGUUGUGAAAGUUUGCGGCUCAACCGUAAAAUUGCAGUUGAUACUGGCUGUCUUGAGUACAGUAGAGGUGGGCGGAAUUCGUGGUGUAGCGGUGAAAUGCUUAGAUAUCACGAAGAACUCCGAUUGCGAAGGCAGCUCACUGGACUGCAACUGACACUGAUGCUCGAAAGUGUGGGUAUCAAACAGGAUUAGAUACCCUGGUAGUCCACACAGUAAACGAUGAAUAUUCGCUGUUUGCGAUAUACAGUAAGCGGCCAAGCGAAAGCAUUAAGUAUUCCACCUGGGGAGUACGCCGGCAACGGUGAAACUCAAAGGAAUUGACGGGGGCCCGCACAAGCGGAGGAACAUGUGGUUUAAUUCGAUGAUACGCGAGGAACCUUACCCGGGCUUAAAUUGCAUUUGAAUAUAUUGGAAACAGUAUAGCCGUAAGGCAAAUGUGAAGGUGCUGCAUGGUUGUCGUCAGCUCGUGCCGUGAGGUGUCGGCUUAAGUGCCAUAACGAGCGCAACCCUUAUCUUUAGUUACUAACAGGUCAUGCUGAGGACUCUAGAGAGACUGCCGUCGUAAGAUGUGAGGAAGGUGGGGAUGACGUCAAAUCAGCACGGCCCUUACGUCCGGGGCUACACACGUGUUACAAUGGGGGGUACAGAAGGCAGCUACCUGGUGACAGGAUGCUAAUCCCAAAAGCCUCUCUCAGUUCGGAUCGAAGUCUGCAACCCGACUUCGUGAAGCUGGAUUCGCUAGUAAUCGCGCAUCAGCCAUGGCGCGGUGAAUACGUUCCCGGGCCUUGCACA
RNAcentral lists this ribosomal RNA (1366 nucleotides) under uncultured bacterium. Its description in RNAcentral is "bacterial SSU rRNA". It matches the Rfam family "Bacterial small subunit ribosomal RNA", at positions 28 to 1387 of the family's 1533-position model. The record is from RNAcentral.